RNAcentral lists this signal recognition particle RNA (241 nucleotides) under Zalophus californianus (California sea lion). RNAcentral describes it as "Metazoan signal recognition particle RNA (ENSZCAG00015018813.1)". It matches the Rfam family "Metazoan signal recognition particle RNA". From Rfam's summary of the family: The signal recognition particle (SRP) is a universally conserved ribonucleoprotein. It is involved in the co-translational targeting of proteins to membranes. Lineage: Eukaryota; Metazoa; Chordata; Mammalia; Carnivora; Otariidae. The record is from RNAcentral.
GCUGGGUAAGGUGACACAUGCCUGUAGUCCCAGCUACUUGGGAGGCUGAGGCAGGAGGAUGUCCAUCCAGUGUCAGCACUAAGUUCAGCAUCAAUAUGGUAACCUCCCGGGAGCGGUGGGACCACCAGAUUGCCUAAGGAGGGGUGAACUGGCCCAGGUCAGAAAUGGAGCAGGUCAAAACUUCUGUGCUGAUCAGUAGUGGGAUCGUGACUAUGAAUAGCCAGUACAUUUCAGCCUGGGU